Pelobates cultripes (western spadefoot toad) is the source of this 275-nucleotide non-coding RNA. The record is from the annotation of a GenBank genome assembly. NCBI's taxonomy places the organism in Eukaryota, Metazoa, Chordata, Amphibia, Anura, Pelobatidae.
GACAUUUGUGCAAAGUUAAACAAAGCACAAUCAGGCAGCUAAGCAGCACUGAGUAACCAACUCUUUUUCUGAUUCUAGAACAUUUGUCGAUAACGAAUGAACUACAGUGAGUAACGCCAGUGAUCACAUUCUGUGGCCGACAGACUUGCGUUAGAUUUAGCAAUGCAGAACCGAUCAUUUGGCCAAUAGGAGUAUGCUUGUGGAGACAGAAUCAGCACACUUGAGUAAUACAUGAAAGGCAGCGUUAGAAAGAAAUUCAGUAACAUCCAAUCUAC